GGCUAUGUUCAAAGGUUGGAGCUGAUAGUAGGAGGGUAUGAGGGUGCUGGGUGCCUUUGGUUCGUCAGUGUAGGGUAUUACUUUGUGGGUGUUUUAUUUCUGUUAUUUCUUCUUGUUUCAUGCAUUAUUACGACUUUGACUAUUAUUCUUUGUCUUGAGCCGGGGGUCUUAUCGGAAACAACCUCUCUACUUCUCCGAAGGUAGUGGUAUGGACUGUGUACAUUUCACCCUCCC
RNAcentral lists this long non-coding RNA (234 nucleotides) under Capsicum annuum. RNAcentral's name for it is "long non-coding RNA (CANN_LNC022325)". The record is from RNAcentral. Lineage: Eukaryota; Viridiplantae; Streptophyta; Magnoliopsida; Solanales; Solanaceae.